UACAGAGGGGGCAAGCGUUGUUCGGAAUUACUGGGCGUAAAGGGCGCGUAGGCGGCCUGCUAAGUCGAACGUGAAAUCCCUGGGCUCAACCCAGGAACUGCGUCCGAUACUGGUUGGCUUGAAUCCGGGAGAGGGAUGUGGAAUUCCAGGUGUAGCGGUGAAAUGCGUAGAUAUCAGGAAGAACACCGAUGGCGAAAGCAGCUCUCUGGGACGGUACUGACGCUGAGACGCGAAAGCGUGGGGAGCGAACAGG
RNAcentral lists this ribosomal RNA (253 nucleotides) under uncultured bacterium. Its description in RNAcentral is "partial 16S ribosomal RNA". It matches the Rfam family "Bacterial small subunit ribosomal RNA", at positions 524 to 776 of the family's 1533-position model. The record is from RNAcentral.